Molecule: long non-coding RNA, 1674 nt
Organism: Pangasianodon hypophthalmus (striped catfish)
Lineage: Eukaryota; Metazoa; Chordata; Actinopteri; Siluriformes; Pangasiidae
Exons: 2
Source: RefSeq, a predicted model, not a curated record
AGUUAAGUCAUUUAAAUUUUGGCAUAGAAGUUUGUUCGGGGUCACUACUGGCACAAAAUUUGUAAAUCUUUUCUGAUGAUGAUGCAGAUGUUUUUCUGUCAUUGCUAUGAUCAUUACAAAAGUUAGUGAAAAAUAAACCAGAACCCCAAGUUGGAUUCUGUUUGGGUGAGAGCUUGUUUUGGAAUGUUCAGUGGGAAAAAGCCAUAUUUGGUAGAAUGAAGUAAUUGCGUUUCCAUGCUGUGAAAAGUGCAGGACAUUCUGAAAGCUUUUAAUGAAUCAGGGAGACAGUGUCCUGAACAUGGAUAAAGAGCCUUUAUCACAUCCCUAAAGGAACAGACAGACCCUUUUACUGGCUACAGUCUUCACUAUCCCUAUAAGGUUACAGUGGAAAAUCACCAACCCGGCUUCGGUCACUUGCUUUCUUCUUUAACAACGGUGUUCUUCCACAUGCACCCCCCGACACACAGACACACACACACACACACACACACACAUACACACAAUACAUUAAACUUAUUGCAUACGCACUGGAGUACAAUGGUGUAUCAUUAUGUAUCAUGGUCUCCUGAAUGAAUCUUUGCUAUUACGUAAGAGUGCACAGCUUGCAGUUGGACUUUUACCAGCGCAGCUGAGGCCAAAGUACCUGAGGAUUUCCUUUGGCAACUCUACUGUGAAAAGUUACUGUUUAAUUCUGCACUGUGUGAGAGUGUGACUGUGUGGGAAUGUAUGCAAGUACAUUAAUCCAUGAUGCCUCUAGAAAUGUUCCAGCUUAUAUACAAGCUAAUUCAGUCUCAGGCUCGGUGUGUGUGUGUGGCAUGUAGCUCUGGAAUGUUUAAAUUGUGUGGAAAAGUUGGUAAUUUGGUUUGUCCAGCAUAGGGCUUUCUUGGAACUUGAGAGAGUUUGACACUCAGCCUGCUUCUUCUGGGAGCUUUGUGAGCUUAUCAGCUACCUGAGGAAAUCAUCAAGGACUUCUCCACUAACAUACCAAGAAGCCUUUUGCCAUAUCAGUAGCUGUUGCUCCCGAGAAGAAUGUUUAUAUGCAAAUUAUACAAGGAGAAACUGCUGAUCUCCUGGUAUUUUUACACACAACAGUCUGUAGAGAUUACACAAAAGGGUGCAAAAAAAAAAAAAAAAGGUCUGGUGGCAAAAAUGCCUUAUUGUCAAGAGAGGUCAGAUGAGAAUGGCCAUACUGGUUGACACGAAGGCUAUGAUAACUCAGAUAACCACUCUGUAUCACCACGGUGAGCAGAAAAGCAUCUCAGAAUGCACAGCACAUCAGAACUUGAGGUGGAUGGGCUACAACAGCAGAAUACCACAUCAGAUUCCACUACUGUCCGAAAAGAACGGGAAUCUGAGGCUACAGCGGGCACACGCUCACCAAAACUGGACAGCUGAAGAUUGGAAAAAAUACCAAGCGACUUCGCUGUAGCAGAAAAAUUACAGACUAUUGACUUUUUUUUUUUUUUUUCUUAUUAGGCUUAGAUUAUGUGGGGCCUCUGCUAUAUAAGUCCCUGUGAAUUAGUUACUACUGAAUUACUGGAUUACUACAGAAAUGAUAACGUAUUAAAAUGAGCACUUUAAUAUAAACAUAUCAUUUGAAUUACUGCUGUAGUAUGAAUCAUUGUAAAUUAAAUUUGGACAGUGGACAGUGUAAUAAAAUAAGCAUAUUACAGA